GACGAACCGAGCGAACGUUGUUCGGAAUCACUGGGCUUAAAGGGCGUGUAGGCGGUUUGGUAAGUGAGAUGUGAAAUGCUUCGGCUCACCCGAAGACCUGCAUCUCAAACUGCCGGACUAGAGUAUGGGAGAGGACAAGGGAAUUCCUGGUGUAGCGGUGAAAUGCGUAGAUAUCUGGAGGAACACCGGUGGCGAAGGCGGCAUCCUGGACCAACACUGACGCUGAGGAGCGAAAGCCAGGGGAGCAAACGGG
This 253-nucleotide ribosomal RNA is filed under the name uncultured bacterium. Its description in RNAcentral is "partial 16S ribosomal RNA". It matches the Rfam family "Bacterial small subunit ribosomal RNA", at positions 524 to 776 of the family's 1533-position model. The record is from RNAcentral.